Molecule: long non-coding RNA, 850 nt
Filed under: Salvia miltiorrhiza (redroot sage)
Lineage: Eukaryota; Viridiplantae; Streptophyta; Magnoliopsida; Lamiales; Lamiaceae
Description: long non-coding RNA (SMIL_LNC010248)
Source: RNAcentral
UGGUGGCGACUCCAACCGCUACUAUUCUGCAGAAGAGAAAGAAAGCGGGCGACGACAUUGUUGUUGUCACAUCGACAAUGUUGGCCUGAAAUUGCGAGGAAAAGAAGGAAAGGUGCAUCGAGAUUUGUGAAGAGAAAGAGAGAUGGCGUUGCCGAUGUGAGUCGCCAGUCGAGAGGUAGACGAUAGGGAAUGACAUGACAUAUGGGGGUUGAAGGCUGCGACCUGUGAUUGUUGUUGUUCGCCUGAAUUUCUUCACCUCUUUUUUAAUUUUUUUUUACAUAUUUUUUUAUUUUUUAUUUUUUAUUUUUUGGUUGAAAAUUCAUUUUUUUGUAGGCAAUAUUAACACGAGAUCAUGGUUCGGUUUUAUAAAAUGUAUUGUUCUGUUUUGCAAUGUGCAUGCAUGGUUUACUGAUACAAUAUGCAUGUUAGUUUUCGUCACCCCACCCCCCACCCCCACCAAUUUUUUAAUUUUUUUUUGUAGGUUCUUUUUUAGUUUUUUCUUAAUUUUUUUUAUUUAUCAAAAAUUCAUUUUGUUGUAGGAUUCAUUGAUACGAGAUGUAUGGUUUAGUUUUAUAAUAUGCAUUGUUCUUAUUUACAAUAUGCAUGAUUUAUUUUUGGGUUAAGUAUCAAUUUAGCCCCUAACGUAGAGGCCCCUGUAGCCAAUACAACCCUAUGCGCAGGGGUGUCUCAACUAAACCCCUAAGGUCCAUGUUUUGCGUCAAGUAAACCCCUCCGUCUAACGGAGAGUUAACUCCGUCCGAAUUUUAAUUUUUUUUUAUUUUUUUUAUUUUGUGGGGCCCACCAUUAAGGGCAAAACAUGUUCUCCCUCUCGGUCUCCCUCCUGCUGCCG